This is a long non-coding RNA of Etheostoma cragini (Arkansas darter), 122 nucleotides long. RefSeq lists it as uncharacterized. The record is from RefSeq and is a predicted model, not a curated record. The transcript is spliced from 4 exons. Lineage: Eukaryota; Metazoa; Chordata; Actinopteri; Perciformes; Percidae.
UAUCAGCUCUGAACUAUUAACUGUGUUUCUUUAAAGUAAGACUCAAAUGUGAGUUUAACUUUAAGGUAACUGAACCUUUGUCUCAGAAAUCUUUCAAGGACAGUUGCAUUUUUGUGUAUAGA